Long non-coding RNA from Armigeres subalbatus, 268 nucleotides. RefSeq lists it as uncharacterized. The record is from RefSeq and is a predicted model, not a curated record. NCBI's taxonomy places the organism in Eukaryota, Metazoa, Arthropoda, Insecta, Diptera, Culicidae. The transcript is spliced from 2 exons.
CAUUAUUAGUUGGUUUCUGUUUUCAAAAUACCAAAGCCAUGAGAAAUUUUUUCUUCAUCCUACUCGCCAUGAUGAUGGCAGCCUUGGUGGCUGGGACAACAGAUCUCCGCAUCAGAAGGGAGCCUCAAGUAGCUGAGCCGGCAUUCGUCAAGAAAGACGCCUACAAGACCGGUGGUAAAAAGUGAUUGAUAAAACAAAUCGUUUUUUUUGUGCAAAAAAGUAUGCGUCAUUAGUUAUCAAUAAAGUUAGCUCAAUUAGUGGAAUUAAA